This 1346-nucleotide ribosomal RNA is filed under the name uncultured bacterium. RNAcentral describes it as "bacterial SSU rRNA". It matches the Rfam family "Bacterial small subunit ribosomal RNA", at positions 28 to 1381 of the family's 1533-position model. The record is from RNAcentral.
GACGAACGCUGGCGGCGUGCUUAACACAUGCAAGUCGAACGGAAAGGCCCUGCUUUUGUGGGGUGCUCGAGUGGCGAACGGGUGAGUAACACGUGAGUAACCUGCCCUUGACUUUGGGAUAACUUCAGGAAACUGGGGCUAAUACCGGAUAGGAGCUCCUGCUGCAUGGUGGGGGUUGGAAAGUUUCGGCGGUUGGGGAUGGACUCGCGGCUUAUCAGCUUGUUGGUGGGGUAGUGGCUUACCAAGGCUUUGACGGGUAGCCGGCCUGAGAGGGUGACCGGCCACAUUGGGACUGAGAUACGGCCCAGACUCCUACGGGAGGCAGCAGUGGGGAAUAUUGCACAAUGGGCGGAAGCCUGAUGCAGCAACGCCGCGUGCGGGAUGACGGCCUUCGGGUUGUAAACCGCUUUCGCCUGUGACGAAGCGUGAGUGACGGUAAUGGGUAAAGAAGCACCGGCUAACUACGUGCCAGCAGCCGCGGUGAUACGUAGGGUGCGAGCGUUGUCCGGAUUUAUUGGGCGUAAAGGGCUCGUAGGUGGUUGAUCGCGUCGGAAGUGUAGUCUUGGGGCUUAACCCUGAGCGUGCUUUCGAUACGGGUUGACUUGAGGAAGGUAGGGGAGAAUGGAAUUCCUGGUGGAGCGGUGGAAUGCGCAGAUAUCAGGAGGAACACCAGUGGCGAAGGCGGUUCUCUGGGCCUUUCCUGACGCUGAGGAGCGAAAGCGUGGGGAGCGAACAGGCUUAGAUACCCUGGUAGUCCACGCUGUAAACGGUGGGUACUAGGUGUGGGGUCCAUUCCACGGGUUCCGUGCCGUAGCUAACGCUUUAAGUACCCCGCCUGGGGAGUACGGCCGCAAGGCUAAAACUCAAAGGAAUUGACGGGGCCCCGCACAAGCGGCGGAGCAUGCGGAUUAAUUCGAUGCAACGCGUAGAACCUUACCUGGGUUUGACAUGGAUCGGGAGCGCUCAGAGAUGGGUGUGCCUCUUUUGGGGUCGGUUCACAGGUGGUGCAUGGCUGUCGUCAGCUCGUGUCGUGAGAUGUUGGGUUAAGUCCCGCAACGAGCGCAACCCUUGUUCACUGUUGCCAGCACGUUAUGGUGGGGACUCAGUGGAGACCGCCGGGGUCAACUCGGAGGAAGGUGGGGAUGACGUCAAGUCAUCAUGCCCCUUAUGUCCAGGGCUUCACGCAUGCUACAAUGGCUGGUACAGAGAGUGGCGAACCUGUGAGGGUGAGCGAAUCUCGGAAAGCCGGUCUCAGUUCGGAUUGGGGUCUGCAACUCGACCUCAUGAAGUCGGAGUCGCUAGUAAUCGCAGAUCAGCAACGCUGCGGUGAAUACGUUCCCGGGGCU